GCUGUUCCUGCACCUGAAAACACGUGUUGGAAAUAAGAGAGAAGACAAGCAGAAACGAAGCUGAAGAGGUAGCCGCAGAUGGAUACGCCUGUUUCCGUGUUUCUCACUGGCAUCCAUCUUGCAAAGCUCCCAUCUGAACCAUUUGGGCCCGGGGACUCACCGAACAGGGUGAUCUUGGUUGGACAAAAGCUUUUGGACCAAACACUUGACCAAUCGGAUGGAAGCUGUCAGCCCUGCUUUUUUCCAUGACUUUGUAGCACUUGAAGAAGCUUUACAGCGAGCCUGGAACUUGGGUGACUUUUCAAGGAUGGCUGAAGAGAGUCAGGAAGAAUUGGGAAACAUGCAACAAACAUGCGCCGAGACCAGAAAUCGAUCCCAAGGCCAGUGCAUCGAGGACCGUCAGGCUGUGACAUAGUCAAGGUCAUUCACAGGAAACACUGACUGAUUUGGUUUCACAUCUGGCUCUGUGUUUUAGUUUUGGAGCUUCUGUGUAGAGGAAAGGAUGGGGCUGUGUCACAGGGCUACUCUUGUUUUUGGGGGGGUUUCUAGGUAGGUUACAUGCCUUGUGACACCUGGCCACCUGUCAUGUGACUACUCAUCCAGUAGUCGGGAAUGGUGUAUUAGUAGAGAGAGAACUACAAGGAAAUAAAUCGAAAUAACCGGCACAGCAGAUUAAUGUCAGUUAGAAGCUCUAAAUGUAGAUUUUGAUUUUUUUAUUAACCUCCCAGCAGUAGCCAGGAGGCAAACUUGCAAGGUGUCUUGACUGCUGAUUAUCUUACAGUGAUUAAUAUUUAGUAUGGUUGCAGUUAGCUACAGCAAAAUUGGUCAAAAAUAAGCAUUAUAUUUUUAAGUAGAGCUCUCUAAAUUAAUGUUUAAUCACCUGAAUAUAUAAACAUGACAAACUGAAUUGCAGGCGUCAUAAGACAGCUUGAUUCAAGCUGAAUGGCCCAGUUCAGACAGCUGUAACUGUUGCCAGCAUCGAGAAUCUUUGGUUUGAACUGGGCUAAAGAUGCCAAUCGUAUUCCCUAUUUCACAAACUGUACCUUUAAUGGAAUUAAGGUUAUAUGUUUUACUUUUGCACCAGGCAGGCAUAGGUAGGCCAAUGCCUGGGGUCUCUUGCUUCAAGAGGCCUCGAGGUGCUGUCAUUUUAAGUGUGCAUCAAAUAAAGAUUUAUUUGCCACAAAUUUAUAAGUUCUGGAUGGAUAGUUUAGAAAAUAUCUUACAUGAGUCACUGUCUUUUAAGCUUCAUAUAACUUGUG
This is a long non-coding RNA of Cheilinus undulatus (humphead wrasse), 1259 nucleotides long. RefSeq lists it as uncharacterized. The transcript is spliced from 3 exons. Lineage: Eukaryota; Metazoa; Chordata; Actinopteri; Labriformes; Labridae. The record is from RefSeq and is a predicted model, not a curated record.